Molecule: long non-coding RNA, 402 nt
Filed under: Chloebia gouldiae (Gouldian finch)
Lineage: Eukaryota; Metazoa; Chordata; Aves; Passeriformes; Passeridae
Description: Erythrura gouldiae (Gouldian finch) lncRNA (ENSEGOG00005001145.1)
Source: RNAcentral
CUGACUCCUCCAGCCCUGAGCUUUCCUUCCAGCAGCCUGCCUGGACUUGCAGGUCAGCUUCACUGUCUCUGUGCAGGCUUCCUGAGGUGUUUGAAGGAAGAUACAGCAUUCAAUUCAGGUCAAGAAGUCCUGAGAGGCUGGCACGAAGGAUGGUUGCAGGAGCAAGAACUUCUGACUAUGCAAGAAAACUGGCCAAUCAGAGAUCCUUUUCCUCAUAUUUCUCCUUAUUGUAGGACUUCCCUCCUCUCCAAUCUCCUGAGCAAGCACUUCAGGUACCUAAAAUUUCAUUCAUAUAAACAAGAGGAGUUCUGCCUAAUAGGCUAGUGAUAUUCUGAAGAUGACCAGUCAUGCUGUGAAGAAAAGCAAAAUAAACAGAAGAAAUGGAAAAGGUUGAUGAUAUAG